RNAcentral lists this ribosomal RNA (515 nucleotides) under uncultured bacterium. RNAcentral's name for it is "bacterial SSU rRNA". It matches the Rfam family "Bacterial small subunit ribosomal RNA", at positions 31 to 518 of the family's 1533-position model. The record is from RNAcentral.
GAACGCUGGCGGCGUGCCUAAUACAUGCAAGUCGAACGGUCUUUCUAUGGAAGCUUGCUUCCACUGAGAAGAUAGUGACGAACGGGUGAGUAACACGUGGGUAACCUGCCCAUAAGAGGGGGGAUAACAUCCGGAAACGGGUGCUAAUACCGCAUAGUUUUCUUGAUUGCAUGAUUGAGAAAGGAAAGACGGCCUUUGUGCUGUCGCUUAUGGAUGGACCCGCGGCGUAUUAGUUAGUUGGUGAGGUAACGGCUCACCAAGACGAUGAUACGUAGCCGACCUGAGAGGGUGAUCGGCCACAUUGGGACUGAGACACGGCCCAAACUCCUACGGGAGGCAGCAGUAGGGAAUCUUCCGCAAUGGACGAAAGUCUGACGGAGCAACGCCGCGUGAGUGAAAGAAGGUUUUCGGAUCGUAAAACUCUGUUGUCAGAGAGGAACAAGUUGGAGAGUAACUGCUCCAGCCUUGACGGUAUCUGACCAGAAAGCCACGGCUAACUACGUGCCAGCCGCCGC